This 322-nucleotide ribosomal RNA is filed under the name uncultured Actinomycetes bacterium. RNAcentral describes it as "bacterial SSU rRNA". It matches the Rfam family "Bacterial small subunit ribosomal RNA", at positions 28 to 351 of the family's 1533-position model. The record is from RNAcentral. Lineage: Bacteria; Bacillati; Actinomycetota; Actinomycetes.
GACGAACGCUGGCGGCGUGCUUAACACAUGCAAGUCGAACGGUGACGGAGAGCUUGCUCUCCUGAUCAGUGGCGAACGGGUGAGUAACACGUGGGCAACCUGCCCCAGACUUCGGGAUAACGCUUCGAAAGAGGUGCUAAUACCGGAUACGAACUCCCUGGGCAUCCAGGGAGUUGGAAAGUUUUUCGGUCUGGGAUGGGCCCGCGGCCUAUCAGCUUGUUGGUGAGGUAAUGGCUCACCAAGGCGACGACGGGUAGCCGGCCUGAGAGGGCGACCGGCCACACUGGGACUGAGACACGGCCCAGACUCCUACGGGUGGCAG